UAGAGUUUUUUGAAGUGGAGUUACUGCACAUCUUCUCAUCUCCAAGUAGUCCUUCUUCCUGGCCUUGUGCUUCUUGCCGUGAAGAUGCUCAUCUAGAUCUCUCUUGCUAGUAGUACUGACCUGACAGAGGGCACAACUCCAAUCCAUGGGGUUUCUUUGAACUCGUCAACAUGAGCUCUCCAGAACCUGCUGGUAGUGUGGAAGCUUCCUGUUUUGAUCCACAAAGAUUGGGAUAUGGUUUAACCUGCUGGGCUUGACAACCCUCCUCUUUCUGGUCUAAACCAACAACAGUUCUAUUAGCUUUAACUGAUUCCUAUGUUGCUUUAUUCUUCAUUUCUUGGCCAGCACUGUGAUACGACACUCUUUAAGCGAGUGCAGGCUCCAAUCUGUGGGGAAAAGAAUUUGCAGAAAGAGAAAAGGGACAGGGGAAUUGCAGAGAAGAGAAAGAAGACGAAGCUGAAAAAAGACAAAAUGAUAUAUUCUUUUUUGAUAUCCCUCAUGGGUCCCUUUGACAGUACAAUAUAUUCUCUCUCCCAAAAACAGCCAUGCACCCUUAACUAACUAAAAUAGAAUAAAAUUGAUAACAACAAAAUAAUAAUUGAAAACAAAACAAUAUUCGUUAUUAUAAUCUCUCAAGCAUUCUCGAACAUUCCUCAAAUGACAAAGUCUUUGAGCCAUCCUGGUUUCUUUCUCGCGCGAGCUGAACCUGUCUUGAGCUGCUCUCUAGCUUGUGUCUCAUUCACGGGUUGGACUUCUUCCAUUUCUGCAGGCUGGGUCUCUUCCCUUGCUGUCUCAUUGUGCUCGAUCUGAUUCACAACAAUUGGCCAGGUUGUAUCAUUCCCCAUUCCUUGAAAGCUUACCUUGUCCUCACGGUGUAGUGCAGGGUAGAGUUUACGAAAUUCCUCAAAGUCCUCCCAAGUUGAAUUUUCUGGUGAGCUAUCAGACCAUUGCACCAAAAUUUGUGGAAUUUCUUUGCCUUGUCGAAGUAUCUUUCGCUCAGCACAUACUGCAAUUGGUGAUGACAAGGGCUUGUUAUCCACACUUCCUGGAGGCAGUGAAUAAACAUCAAUGGGGGAGUUUCCCACAUAAGGUUUUAGUAAGGAAAUAUGGAACACCGGGUGAAUUCUACAAUUUGUGGGUAACUCUAACUUGUAAGCAACGGGUCCAAUACGCUCUACCACUGUGAAUGGUCCAUAAUAGCACCUUGCCAGCUUAUGAGAUGAGCGCUUAGCAACUGAUGUCUGGCGAUAUGGCUGAAGGUGCACCAACACUUUAUCACCUACCUGCAAUUGAGUUUCUCGGCGAUGUAAAUUAGCCUUUUGAGCCAUUCGAUGCUGAGCUUGUCGUAAGUUCUCUUUCAAUGAGCAAAGCAUGGCAUCCCUCUCAAUUAACAUGUCUUCUAAAGCUUGGAUUGAAGUAGAGCCCCUUGAGUAACUUGGAAUUGUGGGAGGAAAACGACCAUAAAGGGCUUGAAAGGGAGUCAUUCGCAAGCUGCUGUGAUAACUGGUAUUGUAGCAAAAUUCAGCCCAGCCUAAAAAUGAAGACCAUGUCUGUGGCUUGUCUUGUGAGAAGGCUCGUAAAUAUUGCUCAAGCCCUCGAUUAACUACUUCGGAUUGACCAUCCCUUUGGGGGUGGUAAGCCGUGCUGUGCCGUAACUGUGUACCACUUAAAUCAAACAAUUUCUGCCAAAAGUUGCUCAUGAAUAUAGGAUCACGAUCUGAAAUUAUAGAGCUAGGAAAUCCAUGUAAUUUUACAACCAUGUCAGCAAAUAAAGCUGCUGUUUUGAUGGCAGUAAAUUGAGAAGGCAAGGCUCCAAAGUGAGCUGACUUUGAUAAACGAUCCACAACAACNNNNNNNNNNNNNNNNNNNNNNNNNNNNNNNNNNNNNNNNNNNNNNNNNNNNNNNNNNNNNNNNNNNNNNNNNNNNNNNNNNNNNNNNNNNNUUACUGCUGUACCGUACAUCCGCCUUGGCCGUACAGCAGUUUUUCCUCCUUAACUUCAGAGCUAUCAGAUGUCUCCUUACUAGAGGUGGAACCAGUAAUUGCCUGUAAAUAAAUUUCAUCAGCAAAUUUGCACAAGUGAAUGUUCAUGUAUAAUCAAGUAACAGUUCCACAUAAAAAUCAAACAACAAACUGAAUCAACAUGGACUCGAUAAAACUAAUGGCAUAAUCAGACUACCAUUAUCAGUUGAAGUUAAUUUUAUACUCGCGUAUGUAACUCCUCGACAAAAUGUACAUUAAAACCAGUAAAUAAAUAGAACAGAAUAAAGAAGAAUAUUCCAUAUUAUGAAAUAUCUGAAGAUAUUUAUGAAUAAAAAUGUCAGCACUGUACUGAACAGCAUCACAGUUGAAGCUAAUAUUACUCUUUUAAAAAACAAAAAAAAAGAAAGAAAUGAAUUUGAUAUUAAAAAAUUAUAUAGUUACCUUAACGGUGAUACGUCGAUUUAGAUCAGCAUAAUUCAUCGUUCCCUGCGAUAAUAAAUCAGACACGAGACUCCAUUUCCAUUACACACAAAACGCCCAAGCAUUAAGUAUUAACAGGAAGAAAAAACGACAAAAAAAUAUUGCGUUUUACCAGAGAAUUGAAAGAAGAAGAAGCAGUAGGCUUCCGUUGAUUGAAUCUGAAGCUUUGCAAAGGCAAAGCGGAUGAUCUGAAAUAUUAACCAAAAAAAUUAAAAAAUGAAAACGAAUUAAAGGAGAAUUAAAAUAAAAAUUAAAAAAAGAAGAAGAAAAAGAGGACCUUGGAAGAUUCUGUAGACAGUUCAUUGAUUGAAGAAGAAAGGAAAAUAUCAGAGCAAAUCGUCAAGCAGACAAGUGUGUGUGUGUAAUAAGACCGUUUGAUUUUUUUUUUUUCGUUUUCCUUAUUUUCAUGGUGAAUUUUAUAUAAUUUUUUGAUUAUUUAUAUAUAUAUAUAUAUAGAUAUUUAUUAAAAGAUAAUAAAAUAUAACAUAGUGUCCAAGUCAGAUUGAAAAUAAAUCAACACGUAUGAUUGUUGAAUUGUUAAUUGUGUUAUAAAUAAUUUCGCAUCUUAUUUCAAUUAUUGCCUAUCAAUCUACACUUUCUUCUAGUUUGCAUAAUGACUUCGUUGUUCUUGUAAGAUCUAUAUAGUUUUCUUUUUGUGUGUGCGUGUGGGGUAGGGGGGGUGGGGCGCGGCUACUGGGAGCCUUUGAUAAAGAAAACGACGUUGUUACAGUGAAUCUCAGGGUCCAUGUUUGUGUGAUGAUAUUUUUCGUGAGAGGUUAUGGUGUCUAAUUGGGCGGACACACGUUUGGCUUGUAGAUGAUAUGACUGUGUAACCAUGUUGCAGCUGUUGCUUGCUUUCAGCAUUCUAAUCAUUGACCAACUUGGGAUCUUCAUAUCCGUUGGUGGAAUUAUUUGCACCAUCUAAGUCUUGACGGGCACCCCUUGAUUAUACUCGGUGGAAUAAAUUUUGCACUUAUUUUUAAAAAUAAAUAAAUAAAGAAUCCCCCGUGGGGAAGUUAAAGUGCAAACACGAAUUGAUUAGUGAAGAGGACACAGAGAUUUGACAUGAUAAUUAAUCAUCUCGUUAUGAUGUGUUAGUGUAUAAUGGUUAAUAUUUACCUCAAUUUUUUUUUAUUUCUAUUUCUUUUAUAUUUGCAGGACAUAAGAGUGGUUUUAAAUAGAUUUGGUAGCAACAUUAUUUUCUCUAAUGGCCUUCGUGAUCUCUAUAGUAGCGCUGGGUAAUUAAACUUCUAUCGAAGUUACCAAUUUAAUUAUACAUUUUUUUCUUUUCUUUUUUGAGGUUAUAGGGUUCUAAAAGAUAUAUCAGACAAUAUAAUAGCAGUGACAACAAGAAACGUUAUGUAAAUUUUUCUAUAAAAUAAAAAAAUUAGUGUUCAAUUAUUAACUAAAUUAUUGGAUAACAUAAUUAAUAGUGUGUAAAUUGGAGCAGGUUCCCAUUGCUUAGACAUACAGCCAGUAACAGAAGAUGAUCCAGAGUGGUUAGUAAUGCAGCGAAAGAUUGAAGUGGACAUGGUUCAUGAUUGGAUCCUCAAAUACUUUGCUGAUUUGCUUCAAAAUCAGAGCAUAAGAUUAUAUUGUGACUACAAAAUUAGUCUUUUCUUUUUCUUCCUCUCCUCUAUCUUUCUAAUAUUUAUGGAGCAAAGAUAAAUAAUAGUGCGCCUAGCUAGUUUUAGAUUUGGUCAUUUUCAUAAUUCUUAAUCUGGGUUGUCUUAAUGUGUAGAACAAGUGUGCUUACUUAUUGUAAAGCACAUAAAAAGGGUUCAAUCUUUAUGUAAUAAUCAUAUGGGGAAUAUCAAUUCAUAUACAAUCACAUUGAUUUAACCAUUUCCUUGAAGCCGGGGAGAGACAAAGAAUUUGCCCUCCAUAUACAUGUAUCUCUCAAAACUUGGGUGUUUAUCCUUAUAUGCUCCGUUUAUUAGUAGCCAAGCUUAUGAGUGUAUUGCUCCAGGUGAACCUAUUCUUAUUCUCCCACAUAAUAGCUACUUUUGUUUAAUUAUUUGACAAUCCAAUGCAAUUCCAAUCAUGACUUGGGAUCAGUUUGAAAUUCAGAUGGCUGAUGAAAUAAACUACUUCUGUGUGCGAAUAAAAUAAAUUGAUGAUUAUAAAAGUAGCUUGCUCGGAGUUUGGUAAAUUUAAAUAUGAAAGAAUUAUUUUAUUAUCUAAUCACUAAAAUAGACAUAAGUUUAAAUUGUCUUUAUUUAUGUAUUAGGAUUUAAAAAAAUAGAUAUAAUUAAAUACUAAUGACGUUGAUAGAGAAAAAUACUAAUGACGUUGUUACAGUGAAUCUCAGGGUCCAUUUUUUGUGAGGUUAAUGAUUGCAUUCUGGGUUGCGUUGCACAGUCUUUAGUGUUCAUUCAUCUUUUUAUGGUAAGUUGCAUGCAUUUGUUUUGUUUUAAAAAUAAAAAAUAAAGAAUCCCCCGUGGGGAAGUCAAAGUGCAAUACGAAUUUAUUAGUGAAGAGGACACAGGUUUGACAUGAUAAUUAAUCAUCUCGUUAUGAUGUGUUAGUGUCUAAUUCACAAAUUCGUGUAAUAAAUUGCCACCCUUUCGUGUGAGACUACUGUUAAUUUUCUUCUUCUCCUCACAAAUUUUGCUUUUGCUUCCACUUCACCAUUAAAGAACAUCCCAAAGCUUGGUGUUGUGCGUGGAAGGACUAUUUUUCUAAACCCUAGUAAAAAAAUAUUAACUUCAGAACCAGAGGGUGAUCUCGAAACUUAUUAUUAUGAUCAAAUACUUGAUCACUUUAACUAUAAUCCACAAAGUUAUUUAACUUUUUGAUUGGAUCCUCAAAUACUUUGCUGAUUUGCUUCAAAAUCAGAGCAUAAGAUUAUAUUGUGACUACAAAAUUAGUCUUUUCUUUUUCUUCCUCUCCUCUAUCUUUCUAAUAUUUAUGGAGCAAAGAUAAAUAAUAGUGCGCCUAGCUAGUUUUAGAUUUGGUCAUUUUCAUAAUUCUUAAUCUGGGUUGUCUUAAUGUGUAGAACAAGUGUGCUUACUUAUUGUAAAGCACAUAAAAAGGGUUCAAUCUUUAUGUAAUAAUCAUAUGGGGAAUAUCAAUUCAUAUACAAUCACAUUGAUUUAACCAUUUCCUUGAAGCCGGGGAGAGACAAAGAAUUUGCCCUCCAUAUACAUGUAUCUCUCAAAACUUGGGUGUUUAUCCUUAUAUGCUCCGUUUAUUAGUAGCCAAGCUUAUGAGUGUAUUGCUCCAGGUGAACCUAUUCUUAUUCUCCCACAUAAUAGCUACUUUUGUUUAAUUAUUUGACAAUCCAAUGCAAUUCCAAUCAUGACUUGGGAUCAGUUUGAAAUUCAGAUGGCUGAUGAAAUAAACUACUUCUGUGUGCGAAUAAAAUAAAUUGAUGAUUAUAAAAGUAGCUUGCUCGGAGUUUGGUAAAUUUAAAUAUGAAAGAAUUAUUUUAUUAUCUAAUCACUAAAAUAGACAUAAGUUUAAAUUGUCUUUAUUUAUGUAUUAGGAUUUAAAAAAAUAGAUAUAAUUAAAUACUAAUGACGUUGAUAGAGAAAAAUACUAAUGACGUUGUUACAGUGAAUCUCAGGGUCCAUUUUUUGUGAGGUUAAUGAUUGCAUUCUGGGUUGCGUUGCACAGUCUUUAGUGUUCAUUCAUCUUUUUAUGGUAAGUUGCAUGCAUUUGUUUUGUUUUAAAAAUAAAAAAUAAAGAAUCCCCCGUGGGGAAGUCAAAGUGCAAUACGAAUUUAUUAGUGAAGAGGACACAGGUUUGACAUGAUAAUUAAUCAUCUCGUUAUGAUGUGUUAGUGUCUAAUUCACAAAUUCGUGUAAUAAAUUGCCACCCUUUCGUGUGAGACUACUGUUAAUUUUCUUCUUCUCCUCACAAAUUUUGCUUUUGCUUCCACUUCACCAUUAAAGAACAUCCCAAAGCUUGGUGUUGUGCGUGGAAGGACUAUUUUUCUAAACCCUAGUAAAAAAAUAUUAACUUCAGAACCAGAGGGUGAUCUCGAAACUUAUUAUUAUGAUCAAAUACUUGAUCACUUUAACUAUAAUCCACAAAGUUAUUUAACUUUUUCUCAUAGAUAUGUGACUUCAAACAUUGGGGCGGCGGCGGAGCCACGGCGGCGCCAAUAUUGGCAUAUCUUGGUGAAGAGAGUAGUCUUGAUGAUGACCUUGGUGGCACUGGAUGGCUUACUGAUAAUGCUCAUUGAUUUAAAGCCUUGCAAGUUUACAUAGAGGUAAGUAAAGAAUCUGUUAUCAGGCUAGCUUGAUAAUAAUUGAAAUAGAGUUCGCAUACAAAAUAAUAAUAAUAAAGACAAAUCUUAAUCAGAAUAUUCUACAAUAUGAACUGAAAAGUUGUGAUGGAUUUUUUUUUUAAUUCGAUUUUUUAUGCAGCAUCGGUUCUAUGGAAAAUCAGUACCUUUUGUAUCAAGCAAAGAUGCCCUAAAGAAUGCAACUCUUCGUGGAUAUUUCAACUCUGCUCAAGCUUUGGCAGAUUAUGCAAAGAUUCUCUUACACAUCAAGGAAAAAUUUAUCGGCCGAAAUGUCUCCCAUUAUCGUUGUUGGAGCAUCUUAUGGAGAAAGUAAAUUUUAAUAUUAUUAACUUACUUACAUCUUUUGAUUAAUGUCGUGUCAUUUGUUGCAUCAUUUUAUUCAUUUUGAUCUCGUUUGACCAAAAUAUUAAUUAUGCCAAUAUUAUUUUGAUACAAAUUUAUUUUGCAUUCCAAUUAAUGAAUACUUUCAGCAAUCGUAAAAUUAAGAAAUAGUAAAUAUAUUUUCUUUUUUAAUUAUAAAGUUUACCUCAAUUGUUGUUUGAUUUCUAUUUCUUUUUAAUUUGCAAGAUAUAAGAGUGGUUUUAAAGAGAUUUGGUAGCAACAUUAUUUUACCUAAUGGCCUUCGUGAUCCCUAUAGCAGCGAGGGGCAAUUAAGCUUAAAAAUUUUGUACACUCUUUUCUAUCGAAGUUACCCGUUUAAUUAUAUGCCUUAUUCUUUUUCUUCUUUUUUUUUUGGUGGGGGGGAGAUUAUAGGGUUUUGGAAGAUAUCAGACAAUAUAAUAACAGUGACAACAAGAAGCAGUAUGUAAAUUUUUCUAUAAAAUAAAAAAUAAGUGUUCAAUUAUUAACUAAAUUAUUUGAUAACAUAAUUAAUUAACAGUGUGUAAAUUGGAGUAGGUUCCCAUUGCUUAGACGUACAGCCAGCAAUAGAAGACGACCCAUAAUGGUUAGCAGUGCAGCGAAAGAUUGAAGUGGACAUGCUUCAUGGUUGGAUCCUCAAAUAUUUUGCAGAUUUGCUUCAAAAUCAGAGCAUAAGAUUGAUUUGUGACUACAAAAUUAGUUUUUUCUUUUUCUUCCGCUCCUCUAUCUUUCUAAUAUUUAUGGAGCAAAGAUAAAUAAUAAUAGUGCACCUAGCUAGUUUGGAUUUGGUUGUCAUUUUCAUAAUUUCAAUCAGAUUGAAUUAACUAUUUUCUCCCUUUGAUUUAAGAGUUACUGUAUAGGUCCUUGAAGCCGGAGGUAGUCAAAGAUUUGCCCUCCACACACACACACACACACACACAUAUAAAAAUAUUCUAAUUCAGAAUUUUAAAGUGCGGGAACGUUUGAGAAAACGCAUAAACCGUGCAGUUUAAGUGUUUUAAGUAUUAAGCCUUUAAAAUCCCGCGGUUUUAAAAUUUUUCCUAAUGUUUCCCGCACUUUAAGGUCCUGUACCAAAAAACUACUUUAUAUCCGCACUUUAAGAUCCUGUAUUAUUUAAUGAUUAAAAUAAACAUGAGUUUAAAUUGUCUUUUAUUUAUAUAUUAAAGCUUAUAGAAAAGUAAGAUAUAAUUAUUCUUUUCUUAAAAUAUUAAGGUUAUAAUAUGAACAUUUAAAAAGAUAUAGCAACUUAUUUAAUAAGUUGCUUAUAAAAAUAGUCUCUGUUUUGUUUUUAAAAGUUACAGUCAAAAUAGAGAAAAUUAUAAAAAAAAAAUAACUUUUAACAAAGCCAUCAAAUUUCAUUUUUAUCUAAACUUAUAAAAUAAACUGCUUAUAGUAUUUCAAUCACAAUCCUAGGGCAUUAAUCUUUGUAUAGAAUCAGAUUAUACAUUGAAUAUUUCUAAUUUUCUACACAUAAAUUAAAAUAUGUAGACUAGAAAAACACCUUGACUUCGUAAAGUCUACUUCAUUCUUUAAUUUCCGCAGCAUAUGUCAAGACAUUAUUUCCAAAUAAUUGCCGACUAGGAGAAGUCUUAUAGUCAAGGUGAUUAGAUGAGCGUGUUAUGGAAUCGUAGUGGUUCCCUGCCCUCAACUUAAAAAGUGGCCUUCAAAAUUAAAUAUUAAAUAAUGUGGCAUUAUUAAUGUUAUAUAUAUAUAUAUGUCUUCAUGUUUUGCACGGGUUCGAAUGGCAGUUGUAAUAUUAAAUAAUAUGGCAUUAUUAAAGUUAAAAAAAAUAUGUAAGGUUAAUCAUUAAAAAAAAAUUUAUAAAAAAAUAAAUAAAGAUUAAAAUGGAUGUUAGAAAUAGCCCGUGAGUUUCCAUAGUUUGUGUGUUACAAAAGGACUUUUGUAACUAUUUUAAAAAAAUAAAAAAAAAUUAUUUUGAUUAUUCUGUCAAAUCACACAUUCUGUUCAUAUUAAUAUUUAAUAUCUUAAUAAUGCUAUUAAUUAUUUCUAAUAUUUUCCAUAUUAUCUCAUGUUUCUGCAAUGUUGUUCAAAUAGAUCUACACCACACAAAAUACAAGCCAAUAAGGUUAUAUCUCCAUGAUUGAAUCCAUCUAGAGAAGACCUUGACUCACACUAUUUGAAAACGCGUAUGGGAAAUUAACACUGGGAGGUUGCAAAACAAUUAAUUCUUAUAUAAACGCUUUGCUGAGAAUCAAAUAUAGCUCAAUCAACCGAAAACCAUUAUAAACAUGGCAUCAGCAUCCUCUGUUUCGAGAUUGGUGGUCAUUUUAAUUUUAAUUAAUGUUGGUGCUAUAAGUGAUAAAACAAUAUUUGUAAUAGCAUCAGCUGCUGGAUUAUUGUCGUCACCCGUACAGUUAGAAAGAGAAGCUUUACUGAUUACAGGCUGGUGGUACGACAAUUGGGCAACGUCGGGCAACUACACGUCCGAUCAUUGUAAGUGGACUGGCAUCCGUUGCAAUUCAGCGGGAAGCGUAAUCAGGGUCAGCUUACUCUGGUAUGAAAAUGAUAACAUGAAAGGAGAGCUUGGUCGUUUCAACUUCUCUUGCUUUCCCAACCUCAAAAGUUUCAAAAUUCAUUCAAAUUAUCUUCUCUCUGGGAGCAUUCCAUCUGAAAUUACUGCCCUUUCAAUGCUCCAAACUCUUGAACUGCCCUCCAGCAGGCUUACCGGUAUGCUACGAAACUUCACUAUAUAUAUGUAUUUAUGUAUGUAUGUAUGAAGUCGUGCUCAUGCUUGAAGCAGACGUCUGUUUUUACAACAUUGAAGAAGUUUUUUUUUAUGAGGAUUUCUUUAUAAAUUUUAUUGCUAUGAGGAUAGUGAAUACUGAUCUCGUUUUUCAUAAAUCACAUGCGCAACAGGAAUUAUCCCUUCAGAGAUGGGGAGAUUGAGGAAUCUCGUCCGCCUGGAUCUAUCUGAUAAUUACAUUGGGGGAUAUAUCCCUCCAACUCUUGGUCGUCUAAGCAAAUUGAAAAUUUUGAACUUGUCUUCUAACUUCCUUGUUGGUAAUAUCCCUCUAACUCUUUGUCAUCUAAGCAAAUUGAAAAUUUUGAACUUGUCUUCUAACUUCCUUGUUGGUAAUAUCCCUCUAACUCUUUGUCAUCUAAGCAAAUUGAAAAUUUUGAACUUGUCUUCUAACUUCCUUGUUGGUAAUAUCCCUCUAACUCUUUGUCAUCUAAGCAAAUUGAAAAUUUUGAACUUGUCUUCUAACUUCCUUGUUGGUAAUAUCCCUCUAACUCUUUGUCAUCUAAGCAAAUUGAAAAUUUUGAACUUGUCUUCUAACUUCCUUGUUGGUAAUAUCCCUCUAACUCUUUGUCAUCUAAGCAAAUUGAAAAUUUUGAACUUGUCUUCUAACUUCCUUGUUGGUAAUAUCCCUCUAACUCUUUGUCAUCUAAGCAAAUUGAAAAUUUUGAACUUGUCUUCUAACUCCCUUGUUGGUAAUAUCCCCCCCACUCUAGGUCAUCUAACCCAGCUAACUACUUUGGCUAUGUCAAAUAAAGUGGCCAUCUAGAUGGUAUAAAGCAGCCAUCUAGAUGGUCAGCAACAAUUUUGUUCAAAGAAGAAGAAUUUUGCAGCAAAUUUGAAAAAAAACGAAGCACACGACUUUGACAAGAGAAAGAAGAAAAAGAAGAAAAAGAAGAAAAAAAUAUAUAUAUAUAAUUGAUGAAUAGUGCCAAAGCUUUCUCUAUAAAUAGAAACAAAGAGAAUGAGCAAAUUCAUUCCAUUCAGAGAGCAAUUUAGCAGUUGAGAGAGAGUUUAGAGAGCUUGAAUUUAUAAGCUCUUGUUAUAGUGAUUUAGAGAGUUUGGGUGUAUUGGGGUUUUGAGAAGUGAGCUAAAAUACUACAAUACUUGUAACUCAUUUUCAAUAGUAAAAUAUUUCCUUCUGUCUUCGCCCGUGGAUGUAGGCUAAAAGCUGAACCACGUAAUUUCUAGUGUCGUCUAUUGUGCUUGUUCUUUAUUUUUCUUCCAAUUUCAACUUAGGUGCGUGUCUGCUUCACCCACCAAUUUCCUAACAGGCUAUUGUCUGGAACCAAAUUAAUGGUUCCAUCCCAUUAGGAAUCGGGAGUUUGAAGGCUCUUUAAGUUCUUGACCUGUCCAGAAAUGAAAUUGAAGGUUCAAUUCCUUCAACACCUAGCCAUUUAAAGAGAUUGAGAAGUUUAAAAUUGUCCGAAAACAAACUUGUUGGUCCAAUCCCUUCGUCCCUGGGUCAUUUGACUCAGCUAACUACUUUAAAUAUGUACAACAACAAACUUGAUGGUCCAAUUCCUCAAGAACUCAUGAAUUGCUCAAAGCUGCGGAUAUUAAUAUUGGGAAACAACUUGUUAAGCGGAAGCAUUUCGUCAGAGAUUGGCAAACUUCAAGAACUAAAUUAUCUUGAUUUAAGCCAUAACUUGAUUAAUGGUAAAAUACCUUCCCAGCUUGGAGAAAUUCCACGCAUAGAUACCGUGAACCUUUCCAUGAAUAAUCUUUCCGGUAGCAUCCCUGAAUCUGUCAAAAAAGUGCCUCUCUUAUAUGUAUCAGGCAACAAUUUCGAGGUAGAAAUCCCAAGUACUUCGGCAAAAGCGCCACCACCACAUCACAAAGGCAAUGACAAAAAGAUUGCCACUCGAUUGGUUGCAAUUAUUCUUCCUAUGUCCGCAUUCCUUGCCUUAAUAUUUGGAAUCUUGUUUGUCCGUAGACGAAGGGAUAAGAAAGUUGAACCAACUGAGACAGGAGAAAUUACCAAGUGCGCUGAUGAGUUUGCAAUUUGGAAUUACGAUGGUAGAAUUACAUUUCAAGACAUGAUUGAAGCUACUGAGGAUUUCCAUAUCAAAUACUGCAUUGGAACCGGAGGCUAUGGCAGCGUUUACCGAGCACGACUGCCCAGUGGAAAAGUAGUUGCUUUGAAGAAGCUUCACCGUUCAGAAACUGAGGAGUUAGCUUCCCUCGAGAGUUUCCGGAAUGAGGCUCGUCUACUGUCCCAAAUAUGGCAUCGAAAUAUCGUAAAGCUUUACGGGUUUUGUUUGCACAGGAAAUGCAUGUUCUUAAUCUAUGAGUACAUGGAAAUGGGAAGCUUGUUUUGUGUUCUACGCACAGAUGAGGAAGCUGUUGGUUUGGAUUGGGCUAAAAGGGUGAACAUUGUGAAGGGCAUGGCUCAUGCUUUGUCAUACUUGCAUCAUCACUGCACACCACCAAUUGUUCACCGCGACAUAUCAAGCAACAACGUUCUACUCAACUCAGAAUUAGAAGCAUUUGUUGCUGACUUUGGCGUUGCUAGAUUAUUAAAUUUUGACUCAUCCAAUCGAACUCUAUUGGCUGGCACUUCUGGAUAUAUUGCUCCAGGUAAUCUUCUCGCUAUUCUUCUUCUGCUUCUUUAAUUAUUCUUUUAAUUAAUUUUUGUAUACACUCUGUUAAGUAAUUUUUAAGCAGUUUUAUUUAGUUAGCUACUUAAGUUCGAAUUUUAGAAUAGAUAAGGAGCUGAAAAAUUAAUUUGAACUUUGCGUGCCCGUUUAACUCCUUAUUUUUUUUUAAAAAAAAUACAUACACUUUAGAUAUCAGUUAAAAACAUAUGUUUCUUUGUCAUACCUUGCUGCAGAAGCUCAAAAAUAUAAACAAAUUGCUCUUGUUAUUACUUAGAAAACAUCACUGAUAAAGGUUUUUGUUUUCAUACAAAACUUGCCUACACCAUGGUUGUGACGGAGAAAUCUGAUGUUUAUAGCUUCAGAAUGGUGGCACUAGAAGUACUAAUGGGAAAGCAUCCAGGAGAGAUCCUCUCAUCAUCAUCUUCAUCAUUGGAUAAAAAUAUAAAGCUGAUUGAUUUGUUGGACCCACGCCUCUCACCUCCGGUGGAUCAGAAGAUUAGGCAGGAUAUCAUUCUUGUUUCAACAGUAGCAUUUUCAUGCUUGCGUUCUCAACCAAAGUCUCGACCUACAAUGCAACUCGUGUCCAACGAAUUUAUCGCUCGCAAUAAGGCACCGAUGCAGAAACCUUUUCAUGAAAUUUCAAUUGUGGAGCUUAGAAACCAAGAAAUGUAUGUGGUUGAUUAAUGUGAUAUCUAAUUACGGAUGCGUAUAUUUAACUGUUCAUGUAUGUGAUGGGAUUGCUUGUAAUCAUAGUGGAUUUUUCCAAUAAAGGUGACUGUUAAUUGGUUCUGAAAUUAUUAGGUAGUAGCAAUGUAGCGGAUAUUAUGUGUUCCACGAAUUGUCUCCCUUAGUAUUAUUAAGUCCAUUUUCACGUUCACUUCCAAUAUAUAUUGAAUUGCAAUUAAACAUAUGUGCAAACUACGACAUUAAUCUCUCUGGUCAAGCUAGUACUUUCGCAGUUCACUCUAAUAAAAUAAGGUUUGUCUGAUUGUCUCCCUCUGAAUGAGCUGAAUUAAACAGGAUUUUAAGGAAUUUAAGGUUGUAUCUCUACGAGUUAAAAGGAUAAAUUGUCAUUUUAAUUAUUAGUUUAUUUUACAAAUUAUAUAUGUAAACCUCAUUCAGAACGAGGUUCUUGAUAUUUAAUAUAUUAGUUUUUUCACUCCUUUGUAAAUAUUCACACAAACAUAUACAAUAAUUUAGCUGAUCCGAUCAAACAUCCUGGACCCACCGCUGAUGUUAGGAAGCUUCUGCAUAAGUUGUGGUUAGUGAUAUCCCGCCAACUACCUGCCAGCAAAAGAUAAACUAAUGUCAGGUCAUGAUCAAGAAAAAUUUGCUUUGAGCCGAAGAGUCCAAUGUCAUAACCAUGCAUAUAUGAAGCACUUUCAAAGAGUAGAUCUAACAGUGUCUGGUUUUCAUUUUUGGAGUUUUUUACCAAUGACUGGAGAGUAGAGAACAACACAUGAUCCCCAUUACAGUAUUGUUGCUUGAAUUUAUAGGCUUCAUCAAUCAGUACCUUCAAAUCCAUAUAUAAUGAGAUGGAAGAAUGAAUUUAAAUUUAUUAAUGUAAUUUCCGAGUUUUAAAAUGAUAAAGCAAGUUGCAACUGGUUCAUUGAAAUUUAAAACAUUCAUAAUGAAGUGCAAGAGCAAAAGAAAAGUUAGGAGCUUUACCUUCAGCAUAACAAGGAGUCUGCUGCAUCAGGCCCACUUUAUCUGCCUCUAUAGACCACCACCUCUUCAUCUUCAGCCUUCUCAAUAAUACAAUCUCUUGUUUCUUCAUUUGAUUCUUCGACCACUACAGCUUCACCUUCAACAUUCUCAGUAGGCUCUGAUGGUGUCACAAUUGUUGUGCUGGUGGUGAGGGGGACGGCUUCAUUAUUUUUCCUGUAUUCAUUAGACCGAGCCAUGUGCUUCUUCCCCCUUUUAUGACCUUCCAUCACGACAGCAGAGUGAGUACCAACUUGACAAACUUCACACCAGAAUUCGAAAUUCUCCCUAAGGGGAAGUUUUCUCUUCAUCGUCUCUGCAGUCGGUAUUCCAUUUGUCGUCUUCCGAGUGUUUUCAUUCGGGUCCUUCUUUGGCAGCUCCUCAUUUUUGUUCUCCGAAUCUUUUUCACCCUCCACUUUCUGGUCUAAACCCACAACAGUUUUAAUCGCUUCAACUGAUUCCUCUUCUACUUUAGCUUUUAUUGCUUGACCAGCACUUUCUGGUCUAAACCCACUUUCUGGUCUAAUUGUCUUUCCAGAUUCUUUUGAUGUUGAUGAAGAUGAGGUGGUCUGAGCUCCAAUUAGCUUGGCUUCCUUUGCCUUGUGCUCCUUACCUUGAAGAUGCUCAUCUUGACCACCCUCCACUUUCUGGUCUAAACCAACAACAGUUUUAUUAGCUUUAACUGAUUCCUCUUCUACAGUAGCCUUAAUUUCUUCGCCAGCACUAUCUCUGUUUUCAAUAGAGUUUCUUGAGGUGGAGUUACUGCACAUCUUCUGAUCUCCAGGUAGUCCUUCUUCCUUGGCCUCGUGCUUCCUGCCUUGAAGAUGCUCAUCUAGAUCUCUCUUGCUAGUAGUACUGAACUGACAGAGGGCACAACUCCAAUCUGUGGGUUUCUUUGAACUCGUCAGCGGGAGCUCUCCAGAACCUGCUGGUAGUGUGGCAGCUUCCUGCUUUGAUCCACAAAGAUUGGGAUAGGGCUUAACCUGCUGGGCUUGACAACCCUCCUCUUUCUGGUCUAAACCAACAACAGUUCUAUUAGCUUUAGCUGAUUCCUCUUCUACUUUAGCCUUCAUUUCUUGGCCAGCACUAUCUCUGCUUUCUGUGGAUUUUUUUAUCCACUUCUGAGCUCCAAGUAGUUCUUCUUCCUUAGCCUUCUGCUUCUUACCUUGAGGAUGCUCAUCUAGACCACCGUCCACUUUCUGGUUAACUGAUUCCUCUUGUAUUUUAGUCUUCAUUUCUUGGCCAACACCAUCUCUGCUUUCUGUAGAUUUUUUUGACGUGGAUGGAAUGGAGUUACUGCACCUUUUCGUAUCUCUAAGUAGCCCUGCAACCUUGGCCUUGUGCUUCCUACCUUGAAGAUGCUCAUCUAGACCUCUCUCAGUAGGAGCACUGACCUGACAGAGGGCACAACUCCACUCCUUGGGCUUGUUCGAAUUCGUCGAAGGAAGCUCUCCAGAACCUGCAGGUAGGGUAGCAGUUUUCUGAUCUGAUCCACAAGGAUUGGAAUUGGGCUUAACCUGCAGGGGUUGACCUCCCUCCACUUUCUGGUCUAAACCAACAACAGUUUUAUUAGCUUUAACUGAUUGAUCUUCUACAUUAGGCUUCAUUUCUUGGUCAGCACUAUCUCUGCUUUCCGUAGCUUUUUUUGAAGUGGAGUUAAUGCACAUCUUCAAAUCUCUAAGUAGUUUUUCCUUGGCCUUGUGCUUUUUACCUUGGAGAUGCACAUCUAGAUCUCUCUCGGUAGUAGCACUGACCUGACAGAGGACACAACUCCACUCCUUGGAUUUGUUUGAACUCGUUGAAGGAAGCUCUCCAGAACCUGCAGGUGGUGUGGCAGCUUUCUUCUUUGAUCCACAAGUAUUGGAAUCGGGCUUAGGCUGGAAACGAUACAGAAACCAUGAUGCCUUAUAUUAGUUAUCACAUCAAUGGUAAAAAUGAAAAAUAUUCCCAGUGAGCUCCAUCAUCUGCUAUUGCAGUGCAGUACAGAUGAAAGAAUUUGUUUACAAAAUAAUAAUGCACAAAUUUUAUUUUAAAUUGUGAAUUCUCAUAAAAGGACGGAAUGUAGAAGUAUAUUUAAAUAGUUGAUACAACCAGAAUCCUUGUUAAUUAACAACAUUUCCAGCACUGAACUACGAAAAUCUUUCCUUCAAAAAACAAGAAAAAAAAGGAAAAUGUUUGAAAAGGAUUCUGAAACACUUUCUUAAUAAGCAGGACAAGAAGAAGAGAUGAUAUUAACACUUACGAGCAUUAUAAUUCAUAAUUUGAGGAAACGGCAUUUCAAUGGAGCCUCCAGCCCAACGCACAUACACGAACACAAGCAAUAAGAUUUAAAAUAAGAAAUUACCGGGAAAAAGAAACAUCAGAA
This 16500-nucleotide long non-coding RNA is filed under the name Citrus sinensis (sweet orange). RNAcentral's name for it is "long non-coding RNA (CSIN_LNC003095)". Lineage: Eukaryota; Viridiplantae; Streptophyta; Magnoliopsida; Sapindales; Rutaceae. The record is from RNAcentral.